RNAcentral lists this ribosomal RNA (481 nucleotides) under uncultured bacterium. Its description in RNAcentral is "partial 16S ribosomal RNA". It matches the Rfam family "Bacterial small subunit ribosomal RNA", at positions 28 to 523 of the family's 1533-position model. The record is from RNAcentral.
GACGAACGCUGGCGGCGUGCUUAACACAUGCAAGUCGAACGGGAAGGCCCUGCUUGCAGGGUACUCGAGUGGCGAACGGGUGAGUAACACGUGGGUGAUCUGCCCUGCACUUCGGGAUAAGCCUGGGAAACUGGGUCUAAUACCGGAUAGGAGCCAUUUUUAGUGUGAUGGUUGGAAAGUUUUUUCGGUGUAGGAUGAGCUUGCGUCCUGUGAGCUUGUUGGUGGGGUAAUGGCCUACCGAGGCGGCGACGGGUAGCCGGCCUGAGAGGGUGGGUGGCAACAUUGGGACGUGGAUACGGAGCAGACUCCUACGGGAGGCAGCAGUGGGGAAUAUUGCACAAGGGGCGCAAGCCUGAUGCAGCGACGCCGCGUGGGGGAUGACGGCCUUCGGGUUGUAAACUCCUUUCGCUAGGGACGAAGCUUUUUGUGACGGUACCUAGAUAAGAAGCACCGGCUAACUACGUGCCAGCCGCCGCAGUAA